RNAcentral lists this ribosomal RNA (265 nucleotides) under uncultured Pseudomonas sp. RNAcentral's name for it is "partial 16S ribosomal RNA". It matches the Rfam family "Bacterial small subunit ribosomal RNA", at positions 1117 to 1382 of the family's 1533-position model. Lineage: Bacteria; Pseudomonadati; Pseudomonadota; Gammaproteobacteria; Pseudomonadales; Pseudomonadaceae. The record is from RNAcentral.
ACCAGCACGUAUGUGGGCGACUCUAAGGAGACUGCCGGUGGCAAACCGGAGGAAGGUGGGGAUGACGUCAAGUCAUCAUGGCCCUUACGGCCUGGGCUACACACGUGCUACAAUGGUCGGUACAAAGGGUUGCCAAGCCGCGAGGUGGAGCUAAUCCCAUAAAACCGAUCGUAGUCCGGAUCGCAGUCUGCAACUCGACUGCGUGAAGUCGGAAUCGCUAGUAAUCGUGAAUCAGAAUGUCACGGUGAAUACGUUCCCGGGCCUU